GUGUCAGCCGCCGCGGUAAUACGUAGGGGGCUAGCGUUAUCCGGAAUUACUGGGCGUAAAGGGUGCGUAGGUGGUUUCUUAAGUCAGAGGUGAAAGGCUACGGCUCAACCGUAGUAAGCCUUUGAAACUGGGAAACUUGAGUGCAGGAGAGGAGAGUGGAAUUCCUAGUGUAGCGGUGAAAUGCGUAAAUAUUAGGAGGAACACCAGUUGCGAAGGCGGCUCUCUGGACUGUAACUGACACUGAGGCACGAAAGCGUGGGGAGCAAACAGGAUUAGAUACCCUGGUAGUCCACGCCGUAAACGAUGAGUACUAGCUGUCGGAAGUUACCCCCUUCGGUGGCGCAGCUAACGCAUUAAGUACUCCGCCUGGGAAGUACGCUCGCAAGAGUGGAACUCAAAGGAAUUGACGGGGACCCGCACAAGUAGCGGAGCAUGUGGUUUAAUUCGAAGCAACGCGAAGAACCUUACCUAAGCUUGACAUCCUUUUGAUCGAUGCCUAAUCGCAUCUUUCCCUUCGGGGACAGAAGUGACAGGUGGUGCAUGGUUGUCGUCAGCUCGUGUCGUGAGAUGUUGGGUUAAGUCCUGCAACGAGCGCAACCCUUGCCUUUAGUUGCCAGCAUUAAGUUGGGCACUCUAGAGGGACUGCCAGGGAUAACCUGGAGGAAGGUGGGGAUGACGUCAAAUCAUCAUGCCCCUUAUGCUUAGGGCUACACACGUGCUACAAUGGGUGGUACAGAGGGCAGCCAAGUCGUGAGGCGGAGCUAAUCCCUUAAAGCCAUUCUCAGUUUGGAUUGUAGGCUGAAACUCGCCUACAUGAAGCUGGAGUUACUAGUAAUCGCAGAUCAGAAUGCUGCGGUGAAUGCGUUCCCGGGUCUUGUACACACCGCCCGUCACACCACGGGAGUUGGGGGCGCCCGAAGCCGGAUUGCUAACCUUUUGGAAGCGUCCGUCGAAGGUGAAAUCAAUAACUGGGGUGAAGUCGUAACAAGGUAACC
This 995-nucleotide ribosomal RNA is filed under the name uncultured bacterium. RNAcentral's name for it is "bacterial SSU rRNA". It matches the Rfam family "Bacterial small subunit ribosomal RNA", at positions 505 to 1501 of the family's 1533-position model. The record is from RNAcentral.